This 917-nucleotide long non-coding RNA is filed under the name Brassica rapa (field mustard). RNAcentral describes it as "long non-coding RNA (BRAP_LNC003449)". The record is from RNAcentral. Lineage: Eukaryota; Viridiplantae; Streptophyta; Magnoliopsida; Brassicales; Brassicaceae.
AAGGUUACGAGCAAAACUACAACAUAUCUAUUCAAUUUUUCGUUUUUUUUCUUUGAAAAUGGAGUCGCUUAUUUGAUAAGUGUAAACAAGUGAAAAUGGAACAUUGGGCCAGAGCAAGAUAGGGAUCCUUAUCCUUGGAUAAUUUGGUACAUUUGGAAGGCUAGGAAUGAAAAACUCUUCAGGGGAAUAGAUAGAGAUCCUUUGGAACUAGUUAGACAUGCAGAGAGUGAAUGCCAAGCCUGGUAGGAUGCUAAUGAAGUGGUACAAACAGUGGCACAAGAUAAUACAAAUGAGGAUCCCCAAGUCGUAAGCUUGGGAAAUAUUUGCUUGAUAGAUGGAUCUUGGACAUCUUCUGCUAACUUUAGUGGAAGCGGAUGGGCAUGGAUGGAUAGUUCUGGGAACACUCAACUUAUGGGGACAAGAAAUUUCCCCCGACGCGAAUCAUCCUUGCACUCAGAAGUAGAAGUGUUGCGGUGGGCGAUGGAGAAUAUGCUGCAACAUUCGACCUGCCAGAGCUUUGGGACAGACUGUAAGGAACUAAUUGAAAUGAUAAAGGACUCUCAGGCGUGGCCAAGCUUUUCGACGGAAUUGGAGAAGAUAGAGACGCUACAGAUAUGCUUCCCGGCUUUCAACAUCACUCACGUUCCACGGGCACAUAAUCAGAUUGCUGAUUUUUUGGUUAAGACUGCUAGAUCGUUCCAUAGGGAACUACAUUUUGUUGGUUGUUCUAUUCCGGUUUGGUUAUCCAGACCACCUCAAGUUUGAGUAAUAGAAUGGCCUUUUGAUGUCAAAAAAAAAAAACAAAUGAAAAUGGAACCGCUAAAAACAGAUAACUAACUAUGAAGUAGUUUUGGACUUUUGAAUCUUUGUCACAAAAAAAAAAAAAAACCUUUUGAGUUGACUGUCAAAGUCAACUU